RNAcentral lists this ribosomal RNA (253 nucleotides) under uncultured bacterium. RNAcentral describes it as "partial 16S ribosomal RNA". It matches the Rfam family "Bacterial small subunit ribosomal RNA", at positions 524 to 776 of the family's 1533-position model. The record is from RNAcentral.
GACGUAGGAGGCGAGCGUUGUCCGGAUUCAUUGGGCGUAAAGAGCACGCAGGCGGUUCGGCAAGUCGGACGUGAAAAUCCGGGGCUCAACCCCGGACCUGCAUCCGAAACUGCCCGACUAGAGGUAGGUAGGGGAGAUCGGAAUUCCUGGUGUAGCGGUGAAAUGCGCAGAUAUCAGGAGGAACACCGGUGGCGAAGGCGGAUCUCUGGGCCUUACCUGACGCUCAGGUGCGAAAGCUAGGGGAGCGAACAGG